This 253-nucleotide ribosomal RNA is filed under the name uncultured bacterium. Its description in RNAcentral is "partial 16S ribosomal RNA". It matches the Rfam family "Bacterial small subunit ribosomal RNA", at positions 524 to 776 of the family's 1533-position model. The record is from RNAcentral.
UACGUAGGGGGCAAGCGUUGUCCGGAAUCAUUGGGCGUAAAGAGCGUGUAGGCGGCCCGAAAAGUCUGGUGUGAAAUCUCGGGGCUCAACCCCGAGCUGUCACUGGAUACUGUCGGGCUUGAGUCCGGAAGAGGAGUGUGGAAUUCCUGGUGUAGCGGUGGAAUGCGCAGAUAUCAGGAGGAACACCAAUGGCGAAGGCAGCACUCUGGUACGUGACUGACGCUGAGACGCGAAAGCGUGGGGAGCAAACAGG